Molecule: ribosomal RNA, 253 nt
Filed under: uncultured bacterium
Lineage: Bacteria
Description: partial 16S ribosomal RNA
Rfam family: Bacterial small subunit ribosomal RNA
Source: RNAcentral
UACAGAGGUCUCAAGCGUUGUUCGGAUUCAUUGGGCGUAAAGGGUGCGUAGGCGGCGCGGUAAGUCGGGUGUGAAAUCUCGGAGCUUAACUCCGAAACUGCAUUCGAUUCUGCCGUGCUUGAGGACUGGAGAGGAGACUGGAAUUUACGGUGUAGCGGUGAAAUGCGUAGAUAUCGUAAGGAAGACCAGUGGCGAAGGCGGGUCUCUGGACAGUUCCUGACGCUGAGGCACGAAGGCCAGGGGAGCAAACGGG